This is a transfer RNA of Linderina pennispora, 82 nucleotides long. It matches the Rfam family "tRNA". From Rfam's summary of the family: Transfer RNA (tRNA) molecules are approximately 80 nucleotides in length. Their secondary structure includes four short double-helical elements and three loops (D, anti-codon, and T loops). Further hydrogen bonds mediate the characteristic L-shaped molecular structure. tRNAs have two regions of fundamental functional importance: the anti-codon, which is responsible for specific mRNA codon recognition, and the 3' end, to which the tRNAs corresponding amino acid is attached (by aminoacyl-tRNA synthetases). tRNAs cope with the degeneracy of the genetic code in two manners: having more than one tRNA (with a specific anti-codon) for a particular amino acid; and 'wobble' base-pairing, i.e. permitting non-standard base-pairing at the 3rd anti-codon position. The record is from Rfam. Lineage: Eukaryota; Fungi; Kickxellomycota; Kickxellomycetes; Kickxellales; Kickxellaceae.
GUCAAUAUGCCCGAGUGGUUAAGGGGAGUGACUAGAAAUCACUUGGGCUCUGCCCGCACAGGUUCAAAUCCUGUUGUUGACG